UACGUAGGGGGCAAGCGUUGUCCGGAAUCAUUGGGCGUAAAGCGCGUGUAGGCGGCUCGGUAAGUCUGCUGUGAAAGUCCAGGGCUCAACCCUCGGAUGCCGGUGGAUACUGUCGGGCUUGAGUACGGAAGAGGCGAGUGGAAUUCCUGGUGUAGCGGUGAAAUGCGCAGAUAUCAGGAGGAACACCGGUGGCGAAGGCGGCUUUCUGGACGAUAACUGACGCUGAGACGCGAAAGCGUGGGGAGCAAACAGG
This 253-nucleotide ribosomal RNA is filed under the name uncultured bacterium. RNAcentral describes it as "partial 16S ribosomal RNA". It matches the Rfam family "Bacterial small subunit ribosomal RNA", at positions 524 to 776 of the family's 1533-position model. The record is from RNAcentral.